GACGAACGCCGGCGGCGCGCCUAACACAUGCAAGUCGAACGAGAGAGGAAGAGCUUGCUUUUCCGAUCGAGUGGCGAACGGGUGAGUAACGCGUGAGGAACCUGCCUCAAAGAGGGGGACAACAGUUGGAAACGACUGCUAAUACCGCAUAAGCCCACGGCUCGGCAUCGAGCAGAGGGAAAAGGAGCAAUCCGCUUUGAGGUGGCCUCGCGUCCGAUUAGCUAGUUGGUGAGGUAACGGCCCACCAAGGCGACGAUCGGUAGCCGGACUGAGAGGUUGAACGGCCACAUUGGGACUGAGACACGGCCCAGACUCCUACGGGAGGCAGCAGUGGGGAAUAUUGCACAAUGGGGGAAACCCUGAUGCAGCGACGCCGCGUGGAGGAAGAAGGUCUUCGGAUUGUAAACUCCUGUUGUUGAGGAAGAUAAUGACGGUACUCAACAAGGAAGUGACGGCUAACUACGUGCCAGCCGCCGCCGUAA
This 482-nucleotide ribosomal RNA is filed under the name uncultured bacterium. RNAcentral's name for it is "partial 16S ribosomal RNA". It matches the Rfam family "Bacterial small subunit ribosomal RNA", at positions 28 to 523 of the family's 1533-position model. The record is from RNAcentral.